UAAGGAAUAUUGGUCAAUGGGCGGAAGCCUGAACCAGCCAUGCCGCGUGCAGGAUGACUGCCCUAUGGGUUGUAAACUGCUUUUGUCCAGGAAUAAACCUAGAUACGUGUAUCUAGCUGAAUGUACUGGAAGAAUAAGGAUCGGCUAACUCCGUGCCAGCAGCCGCGGUAAUACGGAGGAUCCGAGCGUUAUCCGGAUUUAUUGGGUUUAAAGGGUGCGUAGGCGGCCUAUUAAGUCAGGGGUGAAAUACGGUGGCUCAACCAUCGCAGUGCCUUUGAUACUGAUGGGCUUGAAUCCAUUUGAAGUGGGCGGAAUAAGACAAGUAGCGGUGAAAUGCAUAGAUAUGUCUUAGAACUCCGAUUGCGAAGGCACUCACUAAGCUGGUAUUGACGCUGAUGCACGAAAGCGUGGGGNUCGAACAGGAUUAGAUACCCUGGUAG
This 440-nucleotide ribosomal RNA is filed under the name uncultured bacterium. RNAcentral describes it as "partial 16S ribosomal RNA". It matches the Rfam family "Bacterial small subunit ribosomal RNA", at positions 355 to 793 of the family's 1533-position model. The record is from RNAcentral.